Molecule: ribosomal RNA, 313 nt
Filed under: Natrinema pellirubrum DSM 15624
Lineage: Archaea; Methanobacteriati; Methanobacteriota; Halobacteria; Halobacteriales; Natrialbaceae
Description: partial 16S ribosomal RNA
Rfam family: Archaeal small subunit ribosomal RNA (bases 1-78)
Source: RNAcentral
GGUCGAAUCUGGGCUCCGCAAGGGGGCUUAAGUCGUAACAAGGUAGCCGUAGGGGAAUCUGCGGCUGGAUCACCUCCACAGACCGGGACCGGGGCGCUGCCCCGGCCCACCUUCGCGGUUUCACGUUCGAUCGACCCACGUUGUGGCCGAUCGGGCACCUUUGAACUACCAAGGCUAACGCUUCACGCUCUGUCCGCCCUUGUGGCGGACGUGGGCCCAUAGCUCAGUGGUAGAGNGGUCGAAUCUGGGCUCCGCAAGGGGGCUUAAGUCGUAACAAGGUAGCCGUAGGGGAAUCUGCGGCUGGAUCACCUCC